UGAGCAAUCUGCCCUUCUCUUUGGAAUAAGCGUUGGAAACGACGUCUAAUGCCGAAUACGACCUCCUUUCGCAUGAUCGGAGGUGGAAAGCUCCGGCGGAGAAGGAUGAGCCCGCGGCCUAUCAGCUAGUUGGUGUGGGUAAUGGCCCACAAGGCGACGACGGGUAGCCGGCUGAGAGGGUGACCGGCCACACUGGGACUGAGACACGGCCCAGACCUCCGUACGGGAGCAGCAGG
RNAcentral lists this ribosomal RNA (236 nucleotides) under uncultured bacterium. RNAcentral describes it as "partial 16S ribosomal RNA". It matches the Rfam family "Bacterial small subunit ribosomal RNA", at positions 118 to 354 of the family's 1533-position model. The record is from RNAcentral.